UAUGAACGCUGGCGGCGUGCCUAAUACAUGCAAGUCGAGCGAACAGAUAAGGAGCUUGCUCCUUUGACGUUAGCGGCGGACGGGUGAGUAACACGUGGGUAACCUACCUAUAAGACUGGGAUAACUUCGGGAAACCGGAGCUAAUACCGGAUAAUAUUUCGAACCGCAUGGUUCGAUAGUGAAAGAUGGUUUUGCUAUCACUUAUAGAUGGACCCGCGCCGUAUUAGCUAGUUGGUAAGGUAACGGCUUACCAAGGCGACGAUACGUAGCCGACCUGAGAGGGUGAUCGGCCACACUGGAACUGAGACACGGUCCAGACUCCUACGGGAGGCAGCAGUAGGGAAUCUUCCGCAAUGGGCGAAAGCCUGACGGAGCAACGCCGCGUGAGUGAUGAAGGUCUUCGGAUCGUAAAACUCUGUUAUUAGGGAAGAACAUACGCGUAAGUAACUGUGCACGUCUUGACGGUACCUAAUCAGAAAGCCACGGCUAACUACGUG
This 497-nucleotide ribosomal RNA is filed under the name uncultured bacterium. RNAcentral's name for it is "partial 16S ribosomal RNA". It matches the Rfam family "Bacterial small subunit ribosomal RNA", at positions 29 to 507 of the family's 1533-position model. The record is from RNAcentral.